GACGAACGCUGGCGGCGUGCUUAACACAUGCAAGUCGAACGGUGAAGCGCCUUCCUUUUUGGUGGGUGUGGAUGAGUGGCGAACGGGUGAGUAACACGUGAGUAACCUGCCCCCUUCUUCUGGAUAACCGCAUGAAAGUGUGGCUAAUACGGGAUAUUCUGGUUCUGUCGCAUGAUGGGUCUGGGAAAGAUAUUGUCUCGGUGGGGGAUGGGCUCGCGGCCUAUCAGCUUGUUGGUGGGGUGAUGGCCUACCAAGGCGGUGACGGGUAGCCGGCCUGAGAGGGUGGACGGUCACACUGGGACUGAGACACGGCCCAGACUCCUACGGGAGGCAGCAGUGGGGAAUAUUGCACAAUGGGCGCAAGCCUGAUGCAGCGACGCCGCGUGAGGGAUGGAGGCCUUCGGGUUGUGAACCUCUUUCGCCAGUGAAGCAGGCCUGCCUCGUUUGUGGGUGGGUUGACGGUAGCUGGAUAAGAAGCGCCGGCUAACUACGUG
This 494-nucleotide ribosomal RNA is filed under the name uncultured bacterium. RNAcentral's name for it is "partial 16S ribosomal RNA". It matches the Rfam family "Bacterial small subunit ribosomal RNA", at positions 28 to 507 of the family's 1533-position model. The record is from RNAcentral.